RNAcentral lists this ribosomal RNA (413 nucleotides) under uncultured bacterium. RNAcentral's name for it is "bacterial SSU rRNA". It matches the Rfam family "Bacterial small subunit ribosomal RNA", at positions 954 to 1390 of the family's 1533-position model. The record is from RNAcentral.
GCACAACGCGAAGAACCUUACCACCUUUUGACAUGCCUGGACCGCCACAGAGAUGUGGCUUUCCCUUCGGGGACUGGGACACAGGUGCUGCAUGGCUGUCGUCAGCUCGUGUCGUGAGAUGUUGGGUUAAGUCCCGCAACGAGCGCAACCCUCGCCAUUAGUUGCCAUCAUUCAGUUGGGAACUCUAAUGGGACUGCCGGUGCUAAGCCGGAGGAAGGUGGGGAUGACGUCAAGUCCUCAUGGCCCUUACAGGGUGGGCUACACACGUGCUACAAUGGCGACUACAGAGGGUUAAUCCUUAAAAGUCGUCUCAGUUCGGAUUGUCCUCUGCAACUCGAGGGCAUGAAGUUGGAAUCGCUAGUAAUCGCGGAUCAGCACAGUGCGGUGAAUACGUUCCCGGGUCUUGUACACAC